Molecule: transfer RNA, 326 nt
Filed under: Microcystis aeruginosa Ed01
Lineage: Bacteria; Bacillati; Cyanobacteriota; Cyanophyceae; Chroococcales; Microcystaceae
Description: partial contains 16S ribosomal RNA, 16S-23S ribosomal RNA intergenic spacer, and 23S ribosomal RNA
Rfam family: tRNA (bases 140-213)
Source: RNAcentral
CCUUAAAGGGAGACCUAAUUCGGGUAGGAGACGAAAAAAAAGUAGUCGCUACCAAGAAUCAAUCCCAAAAGGUCGGAGCGAGGCAAAAUUGGCUUUCAAACUAGGUUCUGGGUUCAAACAAGACCUGAAUCAGGAACAAGGGCUAUUAGCUCAGGUGGUUAGAGCGCACCCCUGAUAAGGGUGAGGUCCCUGGUUCGAGUCCAGGAUGGCCCACCUGCACAGGUGGAAAAAAGAAAAAAAGCUCCGAAUCAGCACCUUAUCUUACUUAUAUAGUAAGAGAGAAUGCUGGCUCUGAGUACAGAGUCCAGAGGAACCUUGAAAACUGC